ACCAGGCGUGGUGGUGCAUGCCUGUAGUCCCAGUUGUUCGGGAGGCUGAGACUAGAGGAUCUAUUGAGACCAGUAGUUCUGGGCUGUAGUGCACUACGCCAGUCGGGUGUCCGCACUAAGUUCAGCAUCAAUAUGGUGACCUCCUGGGAGCGGGGGACCACCAGCAGGUUGCCUAAGGAGGGGCGAACCAGCCCAGGUGGGAAAUGGAGCAGGUCAAAACUCCCAUGCUGAUUAGUAAUGGGAUCUCACCUGUGAAUAGCCACUGCACUCCAGCCUGGGCAACAUAGCGAGACCCCAUCUCUA
Unclassified non-coding RNA from Callithrix jacchus (white-tufted-ear marmoset), 303 nucleotides. It matches the Rfam family "Metazoan signal recognition particle RNA". From Rfam's summary of the family: The signal recognition particle (SRP) is a universally conserved ribonucleoprotein. The record is from Ensembl. NCBI's taxonomy places the organism in Eukaryota, Metazoa, Chordata, Mammalia, Primates, Cebidae.